This 253-nucleotide ribosomal RNA is filed under the name uncultured bacterium. Its description in RNAcentral is "partial 16S ribosomal RNA". It matches the Rfam family "Bacterial small subunit ribosomal RNA", at positions 524 to 776 of the family's 1533-position model. The record is from RNAcentral.
UACGAAGGGGGCGAGCGUUGUUCGGAUUUACUGGGCGUAAAGGGCGCGUAGGCGUCGGGUCAAGUCGAGUGUGAAAGCCCCGGGCUCAACCUGGGAAUUGCGCUCGAGACUGGUCUGCUUGAGUUCGGGAGAGGAGAGUGGAAUUCCCAGUGUAGAGGUGAAAUUCGUAGAUAUUGGGAAGAACACCGGUGGCGAAGGCGGCUCUCUGGACCGAGACUGACGCUGAGGCGCGAAAGCGUGGGGAGCAAACAGG